CGGUUUUAUAAUUUAUAGAAGUGCCCCACUUCGAGACAAGUGCAUAUUAUUAGAGUAUUCCGAUCGCUAUAUAAAAUUUAUGAAACGUGUUAUAAUUUCAUAAAACGUAACAUUUUUUAGACACUAAAAGAGAUAAGAUAAAAACCCUCACCACAAUACUAUGUCUCGUUAGCCAACAACAUUCUUUCACAUCACAGCUGAUGUUGACGACUGAAAACAGUUUUUAUAUAAUAUUAUUGAGAUUCCGUGCACGUUUUCUACAGUACCUAUCUACAGGUAAUAAUAUUGUAUUUUGAAUAUUGUAACAAUAUAUAUGUACACUAUGCUUGAUACAACAACUUAAGCAUACUAGAGUUUUGAAUGUUCGUGAACGCUUAAUUUGACAGGGUUCGGACAGGUGUAAAUUGUUCGACAAGAGUUGUAUUUGUUAGAUCUGAUUGAAUAUACACCAUUGAGUGAAUUGAGUGACGGCAAUUCAUAGAAUUAAUUAACUGAAUAUAACAGGCUACGGAAUUUAAAAAUCAUUUUAAUAUAAUAGUUGUUUAAUUUAGUUUGGUGACAAAGUUGAAAAAUGUUUAAGCAAUGUUUAAAACAAUUGAUCAAAAUUAUCAUCAUUGU
Long non-coding RNA from Acyrthosiphon pisum (pea aphid), 618 nucleotides. RefSeq lists it as uncharacterized. The record is from RefSeq and is a predicted model, not a curated record. Lineage: Eukaryota; Metazoa; Arthropoda; Insecta; Hemiptera; Aphididae. The transcript has 3 exons.